CGUGGAGAUUCAGAGAGCACGGAGUUCGAGAAAACUUUUAUUUUGAAGAGGCCGAGGGGGGGGGCGCUUCAUUUCCUGACAGCUAUUUACUUAGAGCAAAUGAUUAGUUUUAGAAGGAUGGACUAUAACGUUGAAUCAAUUACAAAACGCGGUUUUUGAGCCCAUUACAGUUGGAGCUAGAGGGAGAAAAACAGAGGAGGGGACUUCAGGAGAGUGCUGGAAGCCGUGGACACUGUUUACUCCCUAUGUAGGAUUUUCAUUACGAAUUGACAUAGGAGGAGAAGUUUUCCGGAACGAUGGGGACUUCCCUUCCGGCCCUCCUGAUCUUAGGCUGUCUCCUCAGAGGGCCCAGCCUAAUCCUCUGCCAGCUUUCAUUACCGUCUAUCCUCCCGAACGAAAAUGAAAAGGUCGUGCAGCUGAAUUCAUCCUUUUCUCUGAGAUGCUUUGGGGAGAGUGAAGUGAGCUGGCAGUACCCCAUGUCUGAAGAAGAGAACCCCAAUGUGGAAAUCAGAAAUGAGGAAAACAACAGUGGCCUUUUUGUGACCGUGCUGGAGGUGGUCAACGCGUCGGCGGCGCACACAGGCUUGUACACUUGCUAUUACAAUCACACUCAGACGGAGGAAACCGAGAUCGAAGGCAGGCACAUCUACAUCUACGUGCCAGACCCAGAUGUAGCCUUUGUACCUCUAGGAAUGACAGAUUAUUUAGUCAUCGUGGAGGAUGAUGAUUCUGCCAUCAUACCUUGUCGCACAACUGAUCCCGAGACUCCGGUCACCUUGCGCAGCAAUGAUGGGGUGGUGCAUGCCUCCUAUGACAGCAGACAGGGCUUUAAUGGGACCUUCAGCGUUGGGCCCUAUAUCUGCGAAGCCACCGUCAGAGGGAAGAAGUUCCAGACCAUCCCAUUUAAUGUUUAUGCUUUAAAAGCAACAUCAGAACUUGAUCUAGAAAUGGAAGCUCUUAAAACCGUGUAUAAGUCAGGGGAGACGAUUGUGGUCACCUGCGCCGUCUUUAACAAUGAGGUGGUUGACCUUCAGUGGACUUACCCUGGAGAAGUGAAAGGCAAAGGCAUCACCAUGCUGGAGGAAAUCAAGGUCCCGUCCAUCAAAUUGGUGUACACUCUGAGGGUCCCCGAGGCCACGGUGAAAGAUAGUGGAGAUUAUGAAUGUGCUGCCCGCCAGGCCACCAAGGAGGUCAAAGAGAUGAAGAAAGUCACCAUUUCUGUCCAUGAGAAAGGGUUCAUUGAAAUCAAACCCAACUUCAGCCCGUUGGAAGCUGUUGACCUACAUGAAGUCAAACAUUUUGUGGUGGACGUGCAGGCCUACCCCCCUCCCAGGAUAUCCUGGCUGAAGGACAACCUGACUCUGAUUGAAAAUCUCACGGAGAUCACCACGGACAUAGAAAGGAUUCAGGAAAUAAGGUAUCGGAGCAAAUUAAAGCUGAUCCGCGCUAAGGAGGAAGACAGUGGCCAUUACACGAUUGUCGUUCAAAAUGAAGACGACGUGAAGAGCUAUACUUUCGAACUCUUAACUCAAGUUCCCUCGUCUAUUCUGGACUUGGUUGAUGACCACCAUGGCUCUACGGGGGGACAGACCGUGAGAUGCACCGCUGAAGGGACGCCUCUUCCUGAUAUUGAGUGGAUGAUCUGCAAGGAUAUUAAGAAGUGUAAUAAUGAAACUUCAUGGGCGAUUUUGGCCAACAAUAUCUCAAACAUUAUCACGGAGGUCCACCCCCGAGAUAGGAGUACUGUGGAGGGCCGAGUGACAUUCACCAGGGUGGAGGAGACCAUCGCUGUUCGAUGUCUGGCCAAGAAUCUCCUUGGGGCCGAGAGCCGAGAGCUGAAGCUGGUGGCUCCCACGCUGCGUUCUGAACUCACCGUCGCCGCUGCGGUCCUCGUGCUGUUGGUGAUUGUGAUCAUCUCACUUAUUGUCCUGGUUGUCAUUUGGAAACAGAAACCGAGGUAUGAAAUUCGCUGGAGGGUCAUUGAAUCCAUCAGCCCUGAUGGACAUGAAUAUAUUUACGUGGACCCGAUGCAGCUGCCUUAUGACUCAAGAUGGGAGUUUCCAAGGGAUGGACUCGUGCUUGGUCGUAUCCUGGGAUCUGGUGCGUUUGGGAAAGUGGUUGAAGGAACUGCCUAUGGGUUAAGCCGCUCCCAGCCUGUCAUGAAAGUGGCAGUGAAGAUGCUAAAACCCACAGCCAGAUCCAGUGAGAAACAAGCUCUCAUGUCGGAACUGAAGAUAAUGACUCACCUGGGGCCGCAUUUAAACAUUGUGAACUUGCUGGGAGCCUGUACCAAGUCAGGCCCUAUUUACAUCAUCACCGAGUACUGCUUCUAUGGGGAUUUGGUCAACUAUUUGCAUAAGAAUAGGGAUAGCUUCCUGAGCCGCCACCCGGAGAAGCCAAAGGAAGAGCUGGACAUUUUCGGAUUGAACCCUGCCGAUGACAGCACACGGAGUUAUGUUAUUUUAUCUUUUGAAAACAAUGGUGACUACAUGGACAUGAAGCAAGCUGACACCACACAGUAUGUCCCCAUGCUGGAAAGGAAAGAGGUUUCUAAAUACUCGGACAUCCAGAGAUCGCUGUAUGACCGCCCAGCCUCGUAUAAGAAGAAAUCUAUGUUAGACUCGGAAGUCAAAAACCUCCUUUCAGACGAUAACUCAGAAGGCCUUACUUUGUUGGACUUGUUGAGCUUUACCUAUCAAGUUGCGCGAGGAAUGGAAUUUUUGGCUUCAAAAAAUUGUGUCCAUCGGGACCUGGCUGCUCGAAAUGUCCUCCUGGCGCAGGGGAAAAUCGUGAAGAUCUGUGACUUCGGCCUGGCCAGAGACAUCAUGCAUGAUUCAAACUACGUGUCCAAAGGCAGUACCUUUCUCCCCGUGAAGUGGAUGGCCCCUGAGAGCAUCUUCGACAACCUCUACACCACGCUGAGUGACGUGUGGUCCUACGGCAUUCUGCUCUGGGAGAUCUUUUCCCUUGGUGGCACACCCUACCCUGGCAUGAUGGUGGAUUCUACUUUCUACAAUAAGAUCAAGAGUGGGUACCGGAUGGCCAAGCCUGACCACGCCACCAGCGAAGUCUAUGAGAUCAUGGUGAAGUGCUGGCACAGCGAGCCGGAGAAGAGACCCUCCUUCUACCACCUGAGUGAGAUUGUGGAGCAUCUGCUGCCUGGACAGUAUAAGAAGAGUUAUGAAAAGAUUCAUCUGGACUUCCUGAAGAGCGACCACCCCGCCGUGGCGCGCAUGCGCGUGGACUCGGACAACACCUACAUUGGCGUCACCUACAAAAACGAGGAAGACAAGCUGAAGGACUGGGAGGGCAGCCUGGACGAGCAGAGGCUGAGCGCGGACAGCGGCUACAUCAUCCCCCUGCCCGACAUCGACCCUGUUCCUGAGGAGGAAGACCUGGGCAAGAGGAACAGACACAGCUCACAGACCUCAGAAGAGAGCGCUAUCGAGACAGGUUCCAGCAGCUCUACUUUCAUCAAGAGAGAGGAUGAAACCAUCGAGGAUAUCGACAUGAUGGACGACAUUGGCAUAGACUCCUCAGACCUGGUAGAGGACAGCUUCCUGUGACUGGCAGAUUCAGGGGGGCACUUUCCACUCCUGGGGCCACCUUGGAUCCCUUUAAGCAAACCACUUGAUUGCAAUGCAAACGUUUGGGAGGAGGACGCGGAUGAGGUGUAAAGAGAAGUUCUCGGCCGAGGGCCUCAGGGAGCCUGCUCACUAUGGAUGAAUGGGAGCUUUCGAAAUGAGCUCUGUCAGCCUUGCCUCUUGGCAAUGCUUCAGUAGCAUCUUAGCGGCGUGUGAAGUUUGGAGAUGUUUGGACAAGGAAGUGAUAGGUCUCGGAAGGUGAACUCCAUGUUUCCAAGGCAUUGGUGAGAUUCCAACAGACACAACUUCGAUUGCGAGAAAACCCCAGCAUUGUAAUUAUGUAAAUAGGUCUAACUGAGGAUGUGUUUAGAUUUGUAUUAACUGUCUUCUCCGGACUUCUGAAGAGACCACUCAUCCCAUCCAUGUACUUCCUGCUUGAAACCUGGUAUCAGCUGCUGUUGAACUCCUCUUUGAAGUACAUGCAAAACCACUUUUGAACCUUAAAAGUGUUUUCAGUGUAUCACAGAUUUGUUUCCUUUUUGGCCUCUUGCAAAGUCCCCAGAUGAAAAUUUGCCAAUCCUUCCUGCUUUCUGUUUUUAUGAAGACAAUCAAAGCUGGCCUGAGAAACACAAUUUGUGACUUUAAAAUGAUCAAUGAUGUCCUUAAAAUGUGGUCUGCCGAUCUGUACAAAUGGUCCUAUUUUUGUGAAGAGGGACGUGAGAUAAAAUGAUGUUAUACAUCAAUAUGUAUAUAUGUAUUUCUAUAUAGACUUGGAGAAUACUGCCAAAACAUUUAUGACAAGCUGUAUCACUGCCUUUGUUUAUAUUUUUUUUGACUGUGAUAUUCCCCACAGGCACAUUGACUGUUGCACUUUUGAAUGUCCAAAAUUUAUAUUUUAGAAAAAUAAAGAGAAAAAUACGUGUUUCCAAAAUAGUGGUGUGGCGAAUGUGUGAGAAGUAACUCAAUACGUAGGGUCUACUGAUAAAAAAAGAUGUAUUACAAAAUGCCCCAUUUGUGUUUUUGUUUUAAAACGUGUAAAUGAAGAUCUUUAUAUUUCAAUAAAUGAUAUAUAUGUAAUUUAAAGUU
Zalophus californianus (California sea lion) is the source of this 4670-nucleotide RNA transcript. It is a transcript of the gene named platelet derived growth factor receptor alpha, with no coding region annotated. The transcript has 24 exons. NCBI's taxonomy places the organism in Eukaryota, Metazoa, Chordata, Mammalia, Carnivora, Otariidae. The record is from RefSeq and is a predicted model, not a curated record.